GAGGGUAUAGCCCACGCAGGCAAAGCGCAUGCUUAGCAUGCAUGAAGUCCUGGGUUCAAUCCCCACUACCUCCU
Molecule: transfer RNA, 74 nt
Filed under: Camelus dromedarius (Arabian camel)
Lineage: Eukaryota; Metazoa; Chordata; Mammalia; Artiodactyla; Camelidae
Also listed under: 1 other name
Rfam family: tRNA
About the family: Transfer RNA (tRNA) molecules are approximately 80 nucleotides in length.
Source: Rfam by way of RNAcentral